This is a long non-coding RNA of Meriones unguiculatus (Mongolian gerbil), 3553 nucleotides long. RefSeq lists it as uncharacterized. Lineage: Eukaryota; Metazoa; Chordata; Mammalia; Rodentia; Muridae. The transcript is spliced from 8 exons. The record is from RefSeq and is a predicted model, not a curated record.
GGAAGGCGCUGCCUCCGCCGGGCAGCGCUCAGCUCUACGCCAGAGAGGGCUGGAGAGACGAUUAGGGCUCCGGUUCCAAGGACAGAACUCUUAAGAGAGAAGGUGCUGCUGCAAGCGAGGGCCACAGCCUCCGCGGCUAUUUCCAGACAAACUCCUCACGCGUCCACAGCUUCUCGGUUCAGUCCUCUUUCCACCCUGUCAGCCGCUUUCCGAGGAGAAACCAAGACGCCGGGAGGAAACACGUGAGCCGUUUCCCCAGGUUGAGAGUGGAAAUGUCUUCUGCGCCUUCCAGACGGGAAUCGCCCUCUAAGCUCCAGUCCUCCCCCUGCUCACACCACAGUGAAGAUUAUAAAAAAGGAUGGCGUGGAGCAGAUGAGUCCUGUAGCCUGUCCGUUUUCCAAAGAAGUCUGGCGUGAUCCCACUGAGGAAGUGGGGAAGGAAGCAUAUUUAAAGUACUGGGAGGAAACCGGUAUGGUGACAUGGCCUGCAAUCCGAGUACUCAGAAGUUGGAGGCUGGAGAAUCACAAGUUCAAGGUCAUGCUCAGCUACAUGGCUUGUAUAAAGUACUCUCAGGGCUGAACUUUAUACAAAGCACCAGGCGAAGCACCAAGAGGAAGUGUUAUCAACCUGGAUUCUAGGAAGGAUGGUCAAGGUUCUUUCUGAAUCACAGGCUUUGCAAUCUGGGAGAGCUGCCUGUGACUGGUGGAGAAAGAAGACUCUAAACAGCAGCAGAUUCAGCCUCUCACGUGGGUUAAUGAGGCCAUUUUGAGUGGAUGGCAUGAGAGGGAGGAGAGGAACAGCAGAGGAACCUGCACAACAAGCUCAGCAGGGGUGAGGCUACUAGACUUGGAGCUUUCUAUGUAAGAAGUGACCUCCCUGCACUAUAAUGCUAUUAAUCAUCAGGCCCAGCAGCAUUUCUGCAGCAGCAAACCACGUGCAUGGCAAUGCAAAUUCAUCUAGCUGGUCCUGACACUCAAGCCAAAGAACAAAAGAGAUAAGGAAAACCAACUCCACAUCUGUCUCAUCCAUCAAAGGAAAUCACAUCACUGAUGAGUAGCAAUAUCAAGUUCUCUGGUACCAAAGAAUACUGAAGAAUCCUGCUAAAGAACCACAGCCAUCAACUAGCACACCCAGGUAUACAUACACGAGUGCAGGUGCCCACAGAGGCCAGAGGAGGUGGAUCUCCCUGGUGCUGCAGUGGCAGUCACAGGCAGUUGCGAACCAGCUGCUGUGGUUGUGAAGAACCUCAGAUCCUUGGAGGAGCAGUACUUAUCCUGACCCCUAAGUCAUCUCCUUAAGCCCUGAAGGACGCCUGACAGUUAACCACGGCUGGGGAGGAGGUGUCACUUUCUUUAAUGGCACCCAUAAGUCGCCCAUAUUCUAUUUGAGACAAGGUCUUUCCCUGGACUUGGAACUCACUGCUGCUAAGCUGCCUGUCCGGUGAGCCUGAGGACCUUCCUGUCGUCCCACCAGCACUGGGUAACAGACACCAGGCGCAGCCUCUCUGUGGGACUUAACUCAGGUUCUCAUGGUGUAUGGCAAGCACUCUGCCCGCAGAGCCAUCUACCCAGCGUCUGUAUGAAGAUACUCUGCCCUCUCUUUGUUCACUGCGACUCCUGUUGAGUGUACUUGAUAACAGUAACACUCUUUUACAUUUAAGAACACAAAAUAUAGCGGUUUUGCUCAGUAUUUCGUGAUUUUAAAAGACAUUUACUGACAGUAAAGAUGUUUACCUAGGCAUAGUACCUCAGACCCACAAUCCCGGAACUUGGGAGGCUGAGACAGGAGGACUGCAAUGACUUUAGGGCCAACCUGAGUACAGACUGAGACACUAACUGACAAGAUUACAUGGAAAAAAAAAUACCAUAAAACCAUUUUAAAGAAAAAAAAAGCAUUUACACAGAAAAUGUUGUAGAAAACAGUGCCACAGUGCUCAGAAAGAAGCAGAACAACACAAGGUGCUUUCUUAUUUUUUGUUUUCUAUGAUGAAUCAUAUCUAUGUAAUAAGCAAAACCCAGCUGAACAAAUGAAGUUGCCAGAAUCUUGAUAGCAGUAUUUUAUGUGCUUAAUGAACUUAUUCAACAAGUAUUUAUUAGGUCUCUACUUCGGAAUAGGUGCUGUUCCAGGUCCUGGGGAUACAGCAGUGAGCAGUUCAGAUAAAAAGCCUUGACUCAGUGUCACUCACCUUUUGGGGAAACAGCUGAAGAAUAUUUGCAACAAAGGACAACCUUUGUACCUUAAGACAGGGAGACAGACAAAAUACUGUACCAUGCUGUCUGUGAAAAGGCCAUGAGAGAAGACAGGAGGGAUGGGGGGGCACACUGGUGGGAAUUUAAAAUACAGUCAAGUGUGCUUCUUUUAUGAUAGCUGCAUAAAAAUCUAGACAGAUGAGCAAGCAGGUGGUACAGAAACUCAGGAAGGAGCCUUCUUAGUGUGUUUAAGGACCAACAGAAAGGCCAGUCCUACUGGGACAGAGGCAGGAAGUGGUGGGAGGUAAGACAGAGACUAAUGGGGACAAGACUGUGCACAGCUUUGGCUCCAAACUGGAGUGAAAGGUAAAGCUAUUACAUCAGUUGGGCCAGAAGUGACAUCGUCCAAUCUGCAUGUCAGCUGCAGCCAGAAUCCUAAAAAGAGACUGAAGCAAGGGAGCAGUGACUGCAAUAAUCCAGGAGAGCACAAUGGCGCCUUGGACCCAGGUCAGCACUGAAAGGGGGAAAGAUGAGAUACGGUUUGAAGCUGAAGCUGUUAGAGUUUGCCAAGAGGAAGGUGUCUGGCCUGGAGAGAUGGAUGGAUGGAGGUGUCCUUAAGUGAUACAGGAAAAAGGGUGGUUUGCAAUAGGAGGAGGGACAGGGAUUUUGAGCUUGGUUUGGACAUAGUAAAUUUGAGAUAUUAAAAAUGUGAAAAGGCUAUUUCAUCCUCUGGAUCUAGCCUCACACUUCUUGUGAACUCACUAGAAAAACUAUAAUUCCGGGUAAAACAGAAGGGGAUGCAAAAUGAGUCUGAUAGGUGUUGGAGGUUGAUCUGAUGCUAAUUACUGGCCCUCUGUGUAAACCUGCCUAAGUCAUCAUACCUAAUUGGAUAAUGAAACAGCCUAUACCUGUGCAGGGCAGAAUGAGGUAGAUAUGGCUAAGGUUCCCAGCUCUGGAGAAUCCCUCGAGGAAUCACGGGAAGAGAGGGAGGAGGAGGAUGCCAGGAUGGGUGAGCCUGGAGAAAACACCACUUGGGCCGCAAGACUCCAAUAGUAGUGUGAAAAGGCCCAGAUGGAGAAUAAAAGCAAGUAUUUAUAAGAUAUGGAUGGAAGAUAGAAUGGUUAAGGAGGAUGGCAUUGGAUGGGGGCUGGGAGAUGGAUGGUGAAGUGAUUGAGACAGUGCAGGUAGGAAUACCGGCCUGGUGCAAGGUAAAUAAGGCAAUUAUAAAAUCUAACAGGUGUCUGUGUGUUGUUAUUUGUGAAAGCGAGUUAAAUAACAUUGCUGUGAUAAUCUUACGGCUAAUAAUAAAUAAUAUACAGCCCAAUACUCUUUUUGUAAUUACUACAACAGAUAGUACAAUGUUA